UUGACCUCAAAUCAGGUAGGACUACCCGCUGAACUUAAGCAUAUCAAUAAGCGGAGGAAAAGAAACUAACAAGGAUUCCCCUAGUAACUGCGAGUGAAGCGGGAAAGCUCAA
Molecule: ribosomal RNA, 112 nt
Filed under: uncultured Piloderma
Lineage: Eukaryota; Fungi; Basidiomycota; Agaricomycetes; Atheliales; Atheliaceae
Description: partial 28S ribosomal RNA
Rfam family: Eukaryotic large subunit ribosomal RNA
Source: RNAcentral